RNAcentral lists this transfer RNA (74 nucleotides) under Perccottus glenii (Chinese sleeper). Its description in RNAcentral is "tRNA-Leu". It matches the Rfam family "tRNA". Rfam says of the family: Transfer RNA (tRNA) molecules are approximately 80 nucleotides in length. Lineage: Eukaryota; Metazoa; Chordata; Actinopteri; Gobiiformes; Odontobutidae. The record is from RNAcentral.
GCUCCUAAAGGAUAAAAGUUCAUCCACUGGUCUUAGGAACCAGUAACUCUUGGUGCAAAUCCAAGGUAGUAGCU